UUCAGGUUUUUUUUGUGAGAUUUUUUCAUGGUGUGGGAAUAAGACUUGGAGGUCUAAUACAGCUAGUAUAUAGAUUAGCAUCAGCUUGUCUGUAAGGAUUGAGGCUGAGAAUGGCCAUUGGAGCUGACUAAUAUGGUGACUUCAACUGUGGCUGCAGGAAAUUAUUGUGCAAUACAACUGAAACCAAAAAGAAUGUAAUUCAGACUAUUUUUGUGUAUGUUUUAAAAAAUGUUCAUAUUUUUUUACCAAAAAAGAAUUUAAAAA
Mytilus trossulus (common blue mussel) is the source of this 264-nucleotide long non-coding RNA. RefSeq lists it as uncharacterized. Lineage: Eukaryota; Metazoa; Mollusca; Bivalvia; Mytilida; Mytilidae. The transcript has 3 exons. The record is from RefSeq and is a predicted model, not a curated record.